AAUAUUGGAGAAUGGGGGCAACCCUGAUUGAGCCAUGCCGCGUGUGUGAAGAAGGUCUUCGGACUGUAAAGCACUUGAGGUUGGGAGGAAGGGCUUUAGGCUAAUACCCUGAAGUUUUGAGGUUACCAACAGAAUAAGCACCGGCUAACUCUGUGCCAGCAGCAGCGGUAAUACAGAGGGGGCAAGCGUUAAUCGGAAUUACAGUGCGUAAAGCGCGCGUAGGUGGUUCAGUAAGAUGGGUGUGAAAUCCCCGGGAUUAACCUGGGAACUGCUUUCAUAACUGCUGAGCUAGAAUACGGUAGAGGGUAGUGGAAUUCCCUGUGUAGCGGUGAAAUGCGUAGAUAUAGGAAGGAACGCCAGUGGCGAAGGCGACUACCUGGACUGAUACUGACACUGAGGUGCGAAAGCGUAGAGAGCAAACAG
This 423-nucleotide ribosomal RNA is filed under the name uncultured bacterium. RNAcentral's name for it is "partial 16S ribosomal RNA". It matches the Rfam family "Bacterial small subunit ribosomal RNA", at positions 360 to 775 of the family's 1533-position model. The record is from RNAcentral.